CUCAGAUUGAACGCUGGCGGCAUGCCUUACACAUGCAAGUCGAACGGCAGCACGGGCUUCGGCCUGGUGGCGAGUGGCGAACGGGUGAGUAAUACAUCGGAACGUGCCCUGUAGUGGGGGAUAACUAGUCGAAAGAUUAGCUAAUACCGCAUACGACCUGAGGGUGAAAGCGGGGGACCGCAAGGCCUCGCGCUACAGGAGCGGCCGAUGUCUGAUUAGCUAGUUGGUGGGGUAAAAGCCUACCAAGGCGACGAUCAGUAGCUGGUCUGAGAGGACGAUCAGCCACACUGGGACUGAGACACGGCCCAGACUCCUACGGGAGGCAGCAGUGGGGAAUUUUGGACAAUGGGGGCAACCCUGAUCCAGCAAUGCCGCGUGUGUGAAGAAGGCCUUCGGGUUGUAAAGCACUUUUGUCCGGAAAGAAAUGGCCUGGGUGAAUACCCCGGGUCGAUGACGUACCGAAG
This 464-nucleotide ribosomal RNA is filed under the name soil bacterium 6V-05. Its description in RNAcentral is "bacterial SSU rRNA". It matches the Rfam family "Bacterial small subunit ribosomal RNA", at positions 23 to 483 of the family's 1533-position model. The record is from RNAcentral.